UGGGCGCAAGCCUGAUCCAGCCAUACCGCGUGGGUGAAGAAGGCCUUCGGGUUGUAAAGCCCUUUUGUUGGGAAAGAAAUCCAGCCGGCUAAUACCUGGUUGGGAUGACGGUACCCAAAGAAUAAGCACCGGCUAACUUCGUGCCAGCAGCCGCGGUAAUACGAAGGGUGCAAGCGUUACUCGGAAUUACUGGGCGUAAAGCGUGCGUAGGUGGUUAUUUAAGUCCGUUGUGAAAGCCCUGGGCUCAACCUGGGAACUGCAGUGGAUACUGGAUGACUAGAAUGUGGUAGAGGGUAGCGGAAUUCCUGGUGUAGCAGUGAAAUGCGUAGAGAUCAGGAGGAACAUCCAUGGCGAAGGCAGCUACCUGGACCAACAUUGACACUGAGGCACGAAAGCGUGGGGAGCAAACAGGAUUAGAUACCCUGGUAGUCCACGCCCUAAACGAUGCGAACUGGAUGUUGGGUGCAAUUUGGCACGCAGUAUCGAAGCUAACGCGUUAAGUCGCCGCCUGGAUAUC
RNAcentral lists this ribosomal RNA (517 nucleotides) under uncultured bacterium. RNAcentral describes it as "bacterial SSU rRNA". It matches the Rfam family "Bacterial small subunit ribosomal RNA", at positions 372 to 881 of the family's 1533-position model. The record is from RNAcentral.